GAUAACCCGGGAAACUGGGUAUAAUACCCGAUAGGUCUCGAUUGCUGGAAUGCAUCGAGAUUUAAAGCUCCGGCGCCUAAGGAUGGGUCUGCGGCCUAUCAGGUAGUAGUGGGUGUAGCGUACCUACUAGCCUACGACGGGUACGGGUUGUGAGAGCAAGAGCCCGGAGAUGGAUUCUGAGACACGAAUCCAGGCCCUACGGGGUGCAGCAGGCGCGAAAACUUUACAAUGCUGGCAACAGCGAUAAGGGAACCUCGAGUGCCAGGUUACAAAUCUGGCUGUCGAGAUGCCUAAAAAGCAUUUCAUAGCAAGGGCCGGGCAAGACCGGUGCCAGCCGCCGCGGUAACACCGGCGGCUCGAGUGGUAACCGUUAUUAUUGGGUCUAAAGGGUCUGUAGCCGGCCGGAUAAGUCUCUUGAGAAAUCUGGCAGCUUAACUGUCAGGCUUUCAGGAGAUACUGUCUGGCUCGAGGCCGGGAGAGGUGAGAGGUACUUCAGGGGUAGGGGUGAAAUCUUGUAAUCCUUGAAGGACCACCAGUGGCGAAGGCGUCUCACCAGAACGGACCUGACGGCAAGGGACGAAAGCUAGGGGCACGAACCGGAUUAGAUACCCGGGUAGUCCUAGCCGUAAACGAUACUCGCUAGGUGUCGGCCACGGUGCGACCGUUGUCGGUGCCGUAGGGAAGCCGUGAAGCGAGCCACCUGGGAAGUACGGCCGCAAGGCUGAAACUUAAAGGAAUUGGCGGGGGAGCACCACAACGGGUGGAGCUUGCGGUUUAAUUGGAUUCAACGCCGGAAAUCUUACCGGGACCGACAGCAAUAUGAAGGCCAGGCUGAAGACUUUGCCGGAUUAGCUGAGAGGUGGUGCAU
This 868-nucleotide ribosomal RNA is filed under the name uncultured archaeon. RNAcentral describes it as "bacterial SSU rRNA". It matches the Rfam family "Archaeal small subunit ribosomal RNA", at positions 125 to 995 of the family's 1478-position model. The record is from RNAcentral.